RNAcentral lists this ribosomal RNA (253 nucleotides) under uncultured bacterium. Its description in RNAcentral is "partial 16S ribosomal RNA". It matches the Rfam family "Bacterial small subunit ribosomal RNA", at positions 524 to 776 of the family's 1533-position model. The record is from RNAcentral.
UACGUAGGUGACAAGCGUUAUCCGGAUUUAUUGGGCGUAAAGCGCACGCAGGCGGCGGAUUAAGUCUGACGUGAAAUCUCUCGGCUUAACCGGGAGCGGUCGUUGGAAACUAAUCGGCUUGAGGCGAUGAGAGGGGUGUGGAAUUCCCGGUGUAGUGGUGGAAUGCGUAGAUAUCGGGAGGAACAUCAGUGGCGAAAGCGGCACCCUGGCAUUAGCCUGACGCUCAGGUGCGAAAGCGUGGGGAGCAAACAGG